CAGCAACACGAUAACACUGCAACGCAUUUCAGCAAUUGUCUGGGCUCUCCUCUCCGUUUCGCUGCAAAAACAAAGUCCGAGAAGAGAAGACUCAAACAGCCGGCCGCUCUUUUCUUUUUUAUUUUCCGCUUGUCUUCUGUGUUUCCACCCUUCUCUCUCGUUGACCGACACUCUCGUUUCUUUUCCCCGCUUCAACACAUACAUUGAAAAAAAAAAAGGAAACCACACACACAGAAAAAGAGGGAAGGAAAGAGACAAGCAGACCUGCCGGCAUAAGCACAACGCGCGCGCCCAUUGCACGCUGGUCUGCUGCUGUACAUACCCUCCCCCACUUGCCUACUGCUGCAGACUGUCGUUUCUACUGCUACGUAUUGACUGCGUACCUCGGUACCCCGUGACAAGCUUCUCUUCUCCGUCUCCUUCUUUCGGACGAGCUCCUAUUUUCCGCGUCUCGGGCUGAACGCAUCUGACCCUCGUUUCCUUGUCGAACAGCGAGUCGCACUCACUCGCGCGGACAGGCACUAGAACGACGUGGAAGUGAGGCACACGCGUACUGUUCGUUCCCCCCUCCCUUUCGUUUCAGCGGCGGCCUCCUUUCUCUUCGUCUCCGCGUAGCUGCAGCAAUUACUCUCACUCCUUCUGUUGUCUUUACGUCUCCUUUUCUUUCGUUUUACUUCUGUUUUCUCCUCCGCGUGUGAUUGCCAG
RNAcentral lists this unclassified non-coding RNA (705 nucleotides) under Leishmania donovani. Its description in RNAcentral is "gene:unknown". Lineage: Eukaryota; Euglenozoa; Kinetoplastea; Trypanosomatida; Trypanosomatidae. The record is from RNAcentral.